GGUGGCGAAGCGGAUAGAGUUGACGUAGCUGGCGAUGCUCAGCGUCGAGGCGAUUCGUGAGCGGCUCCUAUUGCUACGACCGUUGAGUCGGGCAUGCUGGAGUUUGCUCUGAGUCUCUCUACGCGGUUUCAUCGUCGGCGUACGCCGUGGCGGCCGGUUACCCCUUCCGAACCGCGAGGCGUGGCCCAAUGCUCUGCAUUGGUCACCUGUCUCGUGGGUAGGUUGAUGUGGCGACUGGUACGCGGACGACCCGGAGUUGAUUCUUCGACUGCGGCUUGCGCGCUAGCGUGCGCCGGCUUCGAGCGGUGGCGUGCCACUCUGUUCGUUGUCCGGCGUUCGCUGGUGUGUCGGCUGCACCGGUGAUCCACGGUGUGAAAGUCGACCACCUAUCCGACCCGUCUUGAAACACGGACCAAGAAGUGUAGUAUGCAUGCGAGUCAAUAGGUGCAAAACCUAAUGGCGUAAUGAAAGUGAAGGCCCGGCUUGACCGGCCUGAUAUGUGAUCCGUUCCUCCGGGAACGGCGCAACAUAGCCCCAUGCCGACUGCUUGCAGUGGUGUGGAGGAAGAGCAUGCAUACUGCGACCCGAAAGAUGGUGAACUAUGCCUGAGCAGGACGAAGCCAGAGGAAACUCUGGUGGAAGUCCGCAGCGGUUUUGACGUGCAAAUCAAUCGUCUGACUUGGGUAUAGGGGCGAAAGACUAAUCGAACCAUCUAG
This 716-nucleotide ribosomal RNA is filed under the name Diplogaster rivalis. RNAcentral's name for it is "partial large subunit ribosomal RNA". It matches the Rfam family "Eukaryotic large subunit ribosomal RNA", at positions 410 to 947 of the family's 3401-position model. The record is from RNAcentral. Lineage: Eukaryota; Metazoa; Nematoda; Chromadorea; Rhabditida; Diplogasteridae.